This 253-nucleotide ribosomal RNA is filed under the name uncultured bacterium. RNAcentral's name for it is "partial 16S ribosomal RNA". It matches the Rfam family "Bacterial small subunit ribosomal RNA", at positions 524 to 776 of the family's 1533-position model. The record is from RNAcentral.
UACGUAGGUGGCAAGCGUUGUCCGGAUUUACUGGGCGUAAAGAGCGCGCAGGCGGUCGUUCAAGUCGCGUGUGAAAGCCCCCGGCUCAACUGGGGAGGGUCACGCGAUACUGAUCGACUCGAAGGCGGGAGAGGGAAGUGGAAUUCCCGGUGUAGUGGUGAAAUGCGUAGAUAUCGGGAGGAACACCAGUGGCGAAGGCGACUUCCUGGCCUGUUCUUGACGCUGAGGCGCGAAAGCUAGGGGAGCAAACGGG